CUUCGCAGUAUCAGCAACAAGGGUUACAGUGGCCUGGCUCGAUUCGCCAAACCCGUCGCUCGCACAGAGAAUUAUCCAUCGCCAACGGAUUACUUCCCUCGCUUUCCUACUAAAAUCAAAUCACACAAACGUCCACUUCCGUCUGUCAGCAAACGGAGAUACUUUUAUUCCGACGAUAAUCCAGGACCCGGAAUGUACGUGAGCAAAAAGAUUCAAGGUAUCACCUUUGAGAACAGUUUCGGCGGCAGAGUUAAAAUGCAAUUAGGCGUCGAUCUCAAGUGUUGCCGCCGAAUCACGGACACUUGCGACUUGUGUAAGACAAAACCCACGGGAGAUUAUUGGCAUUUGAACGAUAAGAUUUUCUUGUGCCGAACGUGUAUGACGAGAGAGUUUCAACGCCAAGUAAAAUUUAAGAGGAAGGAACUCAAGUUAUUUCGCCAAGUAAGAGAUUGCUCGCAUUUUCACGUUCACGAAGGUAGCGACGCGAAGAUAUGGCUGAUGCCACCCGCCACGGUCAACCAGUGGAGCAGAAGAGAGGCGUAUCUCUCAGCUUACUUGAAGGAUUAAAUCAAACAGAAGUAAUCAAGAAAAAAUCCUUCUCUCUCCAAUUUGAUCCUCCAUCCAGUGAUGUUUUUCUGCAAUCAAUAUAAAUUUGUCGCAUAUAUGAACAUUUUUUUUUCCAUGGAUCGCG
Pseudomyrmex gracilis is the source of this 691-nucleotide long non-coding RNA. RefSeq lists it as uncharacterized. Lineage: Eukaryota; Metazoa; Arthropoda; Insecta; Hymenoptera; Formicidae. The record is from RefSeq and is a predicted model, not a curated record. The transcript has 3 exons.